This 433-nucleotide ribosomal RNA is filed under the name uncultured bacterium. RNAcentral's name for it is "partial 16S ribosomal RNA". It matches the Rfam family "Bacterial small subunit ribosomal RNA", at positions 29 to 507 of the family's 1533-position model. The record is from RNAcentral.
AACGAACGCUGGCGGCAUGCCUAACACAUGCCAGUCGAACGAGACCUUCGGGUCUAGUGGCGCACGGGUGCGUAACGCGUGGGAACCUGCCCUUAGGUUCGGAAUAACUCCCCGAAAGGGGUGCUAAUACCGGAUAAUGUCUUCGGACCAAAGAUUUAUCGCCUUUGGAUGGGCCCGCGUUGGAUUAGCUAGUUGGUAGGGUAAAAGCCUACCAAGGCGGCGAUCCAUAGCUGGUCUGAGAGGAUGAGCCGCCACACCGGGACUGGGACACGGCCCGGACUCCUACGCGAGGCAGCAGUGGGGAAUAUUGGAAAAUGGGCGAAAGCCUGAUCCAGCUAUGCCGCGUGAGUGAUGAAGGCCUUAAGGUUGUAAAGCUCUUUUACCCGGGAUGAUAAUGACAGUACCGGGAGAAUAAGCACCGGCUAACUCCGUG